Molecule: long non-coding RNA, 865 nt
Filed under: Vigna radiata
Lineage: Eukaryota; Viridiplantae; Streptophyta; Magnoliopsida; Fabales; Fabaceae
Description: long non-coding RNA (VRAD_LNC012942)
Source: RNAcentral
UUCAUACUCUUGGUUUUAGAGCUUUUCUCUCUUAGGGUUUCUUGUAUGAACAUGCCUUGAGAGAGCUUUGCUUGGUUUUCGGUUUUGAGCCAUUUCAAUGAACAAGAUGCAGAUUUUCUUUGUGUCUUAACUCACUCUUGGUUAUCUUAGCUCAUUGUUGGUGAAAAACCAUUCAUUUCUACUUCCAUUUGCUUGUUCUUGAUGUUUGAAGCUUGAGCUUUGGAGCUUGUCUUUGCAUUUCCAUGGUGAUUGUUGGGUUUGAGUAACUUUAUAUUUUCAUUUUCCCGUUUCAUUGCUGCAGUAAAUGGAGCUCUAUGUUAGUUUUGGGUUGAAAAGAGCUUAAGUUGAUGUGUGGGUGUUGUGGUUUGUACUCUUUCUUCUUGCAUUUCGUUUUUUAUGUUUGAAACAAGGAAUGGACCAGAUUUUUGUGUUAUUAUGGUGGCUGGACAGAGCUGGAGUUGAUGGCCUAAAUUUUAUUUUCGUUUUUGCAAAGAAAGUUGAAGAAAAGUGAGUGUUGGAAGUGGAUUGAUGAGUAGAAGUUUGGGUUUCUUGUUCUAGUCUUGAUUUGCACUUUGAACUUUGGUUCCUUGGUGUAUUCUCAGUGGAGAAGAGUUGGAGAAACAUUUGGAUGCAUGUUGUUGAAGAAAGAAACAUUUGGUGUGUAGAAGGGAGAGAGAAAUGAAGCAUUUAAGUUUUUACCUCUUUUGGACAAGCAAAAUAUGAAGCACAUUUUUACUAAAGGAAUGUUUCCACUUUUGGUUUUGUCUUCUCUUUGCAUUGCUGCCGAGAAUCACCUUUAGGAAGGGAGUGUUUAGAUGGUUUAUUUCCUUUGACCUUGCCUACAUGGCAUCUUGGUUGGACCACC